UACGGGGGGGGCAAGCGUUGUUCGGAAUUACUGGGCGUAAAGGGCUCGUAGGCGGCCGACCCAGUCGGACGUGAAAUCCCUCGGCUUAACCGGGGAAUGGCGUCCGAUACUAGUCGGCUUGAGUGUGGGAGAGGGAUGCGGAAUUCCAGGUGUAGCGGUGAAAUGCGUAGAUAUCUGGAGGAACACCGGUGGCGAAGGCGGCAUCCUGGACUACUACUGACGCUGAGGAGCGAAAGCCAGGGGAGCAAACGGG
RNAcentral lists this ribosomal RNA (253 nucleotides) under uncultured Acidobacteriota bacterium. Its description in RNAcentral is "uncultured Acidobacteria bacterium partial 16S ribosomal RNA". It matches the Rfam family "Bacterial small subunit ribosomal RNA", at positions 524 to 776 of the family's 1533-position model. The record is from RNAcentral. Lineage: Bacteria; Pseudomonadati; Acidobacteriota.